This 468-nucleotide ribosomal RNA is filed under the name uncultured bacterium. RNAcentral describes it as "partial 16S ribosomal RNA". It matches the Rfam family "Bacterial small subunit ribosomal RNA", at positions 28 to 507 of the family's 1533-position model. The record is from RNAcentral.
GACGAACGCUGGCGGCGUGCUUAACACAUGCAAGUCGAACGGAAAGGCCCUGCAUUUGUGGGGUUCUCGAAUGGCGAACGGGUGAGUAACACGUGAGUAACCUGCCCUUGACUUGGGGAUAACUUCAGGAAAAUGGGGUUAAUACCGGAUAGGAGCUCCUGCUGCACGGUGGGGGGUGGAAAGGGUCGGGGGUUGGGGAUGGCCGCGCGGCUUAUCAGCUUGUUGGUGGGGUAGUGGCUUUCCAAGGCUUUGACGGAUAGCCGGCCUGGGAGGGUGGACGGCGACAUUGGGACUGAGGUACGGACCAGACUGCAACGGGGGGCAGCAGUGGCGAAUAUUGCGCAAUGGGCGGAAGCCUGAUGCAGCAGCGCCGCGUGCGGGAAGACGGCCUUCGGGUUGUGAACCGCUUUCGCCUGUGACGAAGCGUGAGUGACGGUAAUGGGUAAAGAAGCACCGGCUAACUACGUG